Molecule: long non-coding RNA, 787 nt
Filed under: Lepisosteus oculatus (spotted gar)
Lineage: Eukaryota; Metazoa; Chordata; Actinopteri; Semionotiformes; Lepisosteidae
Description: lncRNA (ENSLOCG00000021930.1)
Source: RNAcentral
UAUGUCUGUCUUCAGAUGGUACGUGCUGGAGACACAUGUCACCCCCAGUUGCUUCUGGGCAGGACUACGCUGCAGUCUGCUGUUCUGGGAGUGUAAUGCUGAAACAUCGCCCAGGCAAAAGCACAAAUCUUAAAUGUGAAUGUUUGGCCCCGUGCUUCUGUGAAAAACAGCAGGCACGCACAUCCUCGCCAUCCCUCUGUCAGGGCAUCCCACAGAACCAAUCAAUUCACAACAACAGGGGCUAUUUGACUGUACAAGCUGCUGGCACAAAAUGUAAUAAAAAUUUCUGUGGAAGGAAACAGAAAAACAGUCCUCCUGAAUAAAAAUGUAAAAUUGUACAUGUUUUUUUUUUUCUUCAAAAAUGCGCACGCUGUCUUUUGAAUGACUCCUUUGUUGUCCCUGCUGUUCAUUAACUUGUGAUAGAACACUUUCAAGAGCUGUUGGGCCUUUUGCCACUGUGCCAUUAACAUGAGUUUCUUCUUCCUGUGGGAUAUGAAUUAUUUUAAAAAAUACAACUUUGAGCCAUGUUUGUUAUUAAAAUAACGUUUUUAUUCUUAAGCUCAAGGACCGAUUUGAUUCAGCUUUAAGAAAAAAUCAUUUUUAGUCUGCUGUAUUUGGCUGAUUGCUUUUUACAUCAUCUUGUAAAAGCUUCAAAGAGCUCCUUGGUCACAACGCUGGUUUGUAGAAAUGCUGGACCAGAAGGCCGCAGUGAAAAUGAUAAAUACUCCAGCCUGAGCAGAAUUCAAACUUCAUUCGAUCUCUUAUUUAUCCACCGAGACAACACAGU